This 886-nucleotide ribosomal RNA is filed under the name Wickerhamiella pararugosa. RNAcentral's name for it is "LSU rRNA". It matches the Rfam family "Eukaryotic large subunit ribosomal RNA", at positions 36 to 966 of the family's 3401-position model. The record is from RNAcentral. Lineage: Eukaryota; Fungi; Ascomycota; Dipodascomycetes; Dipodascales; Trichomonascaceae.
UAGCAUAUCAAUAAGCGGAGGAAAAGAAACCAACAGGGAUUCCCUUAGUAACGGCGAGUGAACCGGGAAAAGCUCAAAUUUGAAAUCUGCCAACAGGCCGAGUUGUAAUUUGUAGAUGGCUACACUGCAUAAUAGUAGAUGCUCAAGUUCUUUGGAAAAAGACAUCAUGGAGGGUGACAAUCCCGUGAGGCAUGUUACUAGGAGCAUAUAGUGGGCUUUCUAAGAGUCGAGUUGUUUGGGAAUGCAGCUCAAAGUGCGUGGUGAAUACCAUGUAAAGCUAAAUAUGGACGAGAGACCGAUAGCGAACAAGUACUGUGAAGGAAAGAUGAAAAGCACUCCGAAAGGAGAGUGAAAUAGUACGUGAAAUUGUUAAAGUGGAAGGGCUUGAGAUCAGAAUUGGUAGUUUGGGUUCCACGUCCUCUUGGGGGCGUGUACUCCCUUUCCACCGGGCCAGCGGGAGUUUCGUCUCUUGGGUAAAAGCAGUGGAAUGUAGCAGCUUGUCUGUAUUAUAGCCUCUGUUCAUACAAGACGUCGAGACUUGAUUUGUUGGCGUAAUGAUCUCUAGCCACCCGUCUUGAAACACGGACCAAGGAGUCUAUUGCCUAUGCGAGUGUUUGGGUGGAAAACCCUUGCGCGUAAUGAAAGUGAAAAGAUCAGGGCUCUUUUUUGAGUGCACGAUCGACCGAUCUUGACGAUUUUCAGAUGGAUUUGAGUAAGAGCAUAGUUGAUGGGACCCGAAAGAUGGUGAACUAUACUUGGCGAGGGCGAAGCCAGAGGAAACUCUGGUGGAGGUCCGUAGGGGUUCUGACGUGCAAAUCGAUCCUCUCAGCUGAGUAUGGGGGGCGAAAGACUAAUCGAACCAUCUAGUAGCUGGUUCCCUCCGAAU